This is a long non-coding RNA of Gadus macrocephalus (Pacific cod), 280 nucleotides long. RefSeq lists it as uncharacterized. NCBI's taxonomy places the organism in Eukaryota, Metazoa, Chordata, Actinopteri, Gadiformes, Gadidae. The transcript has 2 exons. The record is from RefSeq and is a predicted model, not a curated record.
AAGAAAAGAAAAAAAAGAAGCAUACUCAGGUCAUUGUAAUCUAGAAGCGAGUAUGCUAAGGCCUUUGACAUUAGCCCAUGGUAUGAUUAUUACUUUUAUGCUGCAAGUUUAGCUCAGGAACAAUACUACACAAUGGUGUAUUCCCUUUUUGCUAGUUAAAGCACAAAGCACAAUUGAAUCGAUAUCGAUUCAAUUGGAUCAAUAUCAAACCAAAAUCGAAUCGGAUCAAGACCUAAAGAAUCUAAUUGAAUUGAAUUGUGAGGCACCUGGCAAUACCCAG